GGUAGCGUGGCCGAAAGAGCAGGCGGCGAGUUGUAGCCUCGUUAACAGGGGUUUAAGCCCUCUUACUAUAA
This 71-nucleotide transfer RNA is filed under the name Christinus marmoratus. Its description in RNAcentral is "tRNA-Tyr". The record is from RNAcentral. Lineage: Eukaryota; Metazoa; Chordata; Lepidosauria; Squamata; Gekkonidae.